Molecule: ribosomal RNA, 468 nt
Filed under: uncultured bacterium
Lineage: Bacteria
Description: partial 16S ribosomal RNA
Rfam family: Bacterial small subunit ribosomal RNA
Source: RNAcentral
GACGAACGCUGGCGGCGUGCUUAACACAUGCAAGUCGAACGGAAAGGCCCUGCUUUUGUGGGGUGCUCGAGUGGCGAACGGGUGAGUAACACGUGAGUAACCUGCCCUUUACUUUGGGAUAACUUCAGGAAACUGGGGCUAAUACCGGAUAGGAGCUCCUGCUGCAUGGUGGGGGUUGGAAAGUUUCGGCGGUUGGGGAUGGACUCGCGGCUUAUCAGCUUGUUGGUGGGGUAGUGGCUUACCAAGGCUUUGACGGGUAGCCGGCCUGAGAGGGUGACCGGCCACAUUGGGACUGAGAUACGGCCCAGACUCCUACGGGAGGCAGCAGUGGGGAAUAUUGCACAAUGGGCGGAAGCCUGAUGAAGAAACGCCGCGUGCGGGAUGACGGCCUUCGGGUUGUAAACCGCUUUCGCCUGAGACGAAGCGUGAGUGACGGUAAUGGGUAAAGAAGCACCGGCUAACUACGUG